This 468-nucleotide ribosomal RNA is filed under the name uncultured bacterium. RNAcentral's name for it is "partial 16S ribosomal RNA". It matches the Rfam family "Bacterial small subunit ribosomal RNA", at positions 28 to 507 of the family's 1533-position model. The record is from RNAcentral.
GACGAACGCUGGCGGCGUGCUUAACACAUGCAAGUCGAACGGAAAGGCCCUGCUUUUGUGGGGUGCUCGAGUGGCGAACGGGUGAGUAACACGUGAGUAACCUGCCCUUGACUUUGGGAUAACUUCAGGAAACUGGGGCUAAUACCGGAUAGGAGCUCCUGCUGCAUGGUGGGGGUUGGAAAGUUUCGGCGGUUGGGGAUGGACUCGCGGCUUAUCAGCUUGUUGGUGGGGUAGUGGCUUACAAAGGCUUUGACGGGUAGCCGGCCUGAGAGGGUGACCGGCCACAUUGGGACUGCGAUACGGCCCAGACUCCUACGGGAGGCAGCAGUGGGGAAUAUUGCACAGUGGGCGGACGCGUGAUGCAGCAACGCCGCGUGCGGGAUGACGGCCUUCGGGUUGUAAACCGCUUUCGCCUGUGACGAAGCGUGAGUGACGGUAAUGGGUAAAGAAGCACCGGCUAACUACGUG